AAGUCGUAACAAGGUUUCCGUAGGUGAACCUGCGGAAGGAUCAUUAAUGAAAUGAGGACUUGCUCCUCAACUUCUUUGGCUGUGCGCUCUUGCGAGCUGCACGCCAAUGAUUCUCACACCCCUGUGCACAUAUCGGGGUGCGUUUGCUCGCACCUCGCCAUUUCACACAAACCACUAAAGUCAUUGAAUGUAACAAAACCAAUAACAAUACAACUUUCAACAACGGAUCUCUUGGCUCUC
This 240-nucleotide unclassified non-coding RNA is filed under the name air metagenome. RNAcentral describes it as "partial contains small subunit ribosomal RNA, internal transcribed spacer 1, and 5.8S ribosomal RNA". The stretch from base 1 to 46 matches the Rfam family "Eukaryotic small subunit ribosomal RNA", at positions 1786 to 1831 of the family's 1831-position model. The record is from RNAcentral.